Molecule: ribosomal RNA, 206 nt
Filed under: uncultured bacterium
Lineage: Bacteria
Description: partial 16S ribosomal RNA
Rfam family: Bacterial small subunit ribosomal RNA
Source: RNAcentral
AGCGCAGACGGGCGAUCAAGUUGGAAGUGAAAUCCAUGGGCUCAACCCAUGAACUGCUUUCAAAACUGAUUGUCUUGAGUAGUGCAGAGGUAGGCGGAAUUCCCGGUGUAGCGGUGGAAUGCGUAGAUAUCGGGAGGAACACCAGUGGCGAAGGCGGCCUACUGGGCACCAACUGACGCUGAGGCUCGAAAGUGUGGUAGCAAACA